This 323-nucleotide long non-coding RNA is filed under the name Microcebus murinus (gray mouse lemur). RNAcentral describes it as "lncRNA (ENSMICG00000048738.1)". The record is from RNAcentral. Lineage: Eukaryota; Metazoa; Chordata; Mammalia; Primates; Cheirogaleidae.
AUGUUCCCACUAAGAGAAUACCUGUCGCUUGAGCAGAGGAACGACUCUUCCUGUGGGAGACUGAAUUUCUGGCCUGAUUUCUCCAUCCUUCACUGUAGUUAUGACCUUGAAGAACUUCACACUGCAGGUGGGGUGAUAUUCAUGCUUCUUGAUUCUGGCCUAUGCUACAGCAUUCUGUGCUAGUGGAUGUGAUACAAACAAAAGCUUGAAAUGGUCUUCAAUAAUAAAGUUGCUGUUUUGAACCUUGGACAUUAACUGAUUAGCCUACUGCUCCCAGGAGGGGAAUGAGAAAUACGUGCAGCAGAGGUAACCUAAAGAAGCAG